UACGUAGGGGGCAAGCGUUGUCCGGAUUUAUUGGGCGUAAAGAGCGUGUAGGCGGCCAGACAGGUCUGCUGUGAAAACUCGAGGCUCAACCUCGAGACGCCGGUGGAAACCGUUUGGCUAGAGUCCGGAAGAGGAGAGUGGAAUUCCUGGUGUAGCGGUGAAAUGCGCAGAUAUCGGGAGGAACACCAGUAGCGAAGGCGACACUCUGGGCCGGUACUGACGCUGAGGAGCGAAAGCGUGGGGAGCAAACAGG
This 253-nucleotide ribosomal RNA is filed under the name uncultured bacterium. Its description in RNAcentral is "partial 16S ribosomal RNA". It matches the Rfam family "Bacterial small subunit ribosomal RNA", at positions 524 to 776 of the family's 1533-position model. The record is from RNAcentral.